AGUGAACGCUGGCGGUAGGCCUAACACAUGCAAGUCGAACGGCAGCACAGUAAGAGCUUGCUCUUACGGGUGGCGAGUGGCGGACGGGUGAGGAAUACAUCGGAAUCUACUUUUUCGUGGGGGAUAACGUAGGGAAACUUACGCUAAUACCGCAUACGACCUACGGGUGAAAGCAGGGGAUCUUCGGACCUUGCGCGAUUGAAUGAGCCGAUGUCGGAUUAGCUAGUUGGCGGGGUAAAGGCCCACCAAGGCGACGAUCCGUAGCUGGUCUGAGGGGAUGAUCAGCAACACUGGAACUGAGACACGGUCCAGACUCCUACGGGAGGCAGCAGUGGGGAAUAUUGGACAAUGGGCGCAAGCCUGAUCCAGCCAUACCGCGUGGGUGAAGAAGGCCUUCGGGUUGUAAAGCCCUUUUGUUGGGAAAGAAAAGCAGCAGGUUAAUACCCCGCUGUUCUGACGGUACCCAAAGAAUAAGCACCGGCUAACUUCGUG
RNAcentral lists this ribosomal RNA (492 nucleotides) under uncultured bacterium. RNAcentral's name for it is "partial 16S ribosomal RNA". It matches the Rfam family "Bacterial small subunit ribosomal RNA", at positions 29 to 507 of the family's 1533-position model. The record is from RNAcentral.